AAGCACAAUAUAAGAUGACAAAAUGCCACAUAAAAUAAUACAUCCUUUAGACAUAUGAUAAAAAACAAUUCAAACAAUUCAUUUAUUUGACUCUCUAAAUAGGACCUGUGAACAAUGCUUCAAUGGAGAUAUACCUUUGACAUUUCUGAUUUCAUUUAUGAGAACAUCAAGAUCAACAAGAUUCAUUUCCUCCAGUGAUUUGUCCACAGACUGAUCAAUUGAAAGGAAUCACACAUUUGAGGUCCACUAGCAGUGCCCUGAGAACAUCUUACAACAGUAUCUACAGCAAGAACCCAAGAUCUGCUAGGUGUCCUAAGGAAAGGCAGCCUUGGGGCCUUUCAAGGACCACACCACACCUAAGAGAACAUGAGGACCCGAUGAAGAUGAAAGGAAGGAACUUCAUCUAAAUGACUUCCAGGAAUUCUGUUACCCCUUUUGCCACAUAUGCUGGAACCUUGAGAGUACCGGAAUUUUAUAUAUGUUCAUGGGGGAGUGUGCCCUUGGUUUGGAG
Molecule: long non-coding RNA, 511 nt
Filed under: Monodelphis domestica (gray short-tailed opossum)
Lineage: Eukaryota; Metazoa; Chordata; Mammalia; Didelphimorphia; Didelphidae
Description: lncRNA (ENSMODG00000043790.1)
Source: RNAcentral